RNAcentral lists this transfer RNA (73 nucleotides) under Parcubacteria group bacterium. RNAcentral describes it as "tRNA-Lys". It matches the Rfam family "tRNA". From Rfam's summary of the family: Transfer RNA (tRNA) molecules are approximately 80 nucleotides in length. Their secondary structure includes four short double-helical elements and three loops (D, anti-codon, and T loops). The record is from RNAcentral.
GGGUGCAUAGCUCAGUUGGUAGAGCAACUCCCUCUUAAGGAGAUGGUCGGGGGUUCGAGUCCCUCUGCGCCCA